GGUCAGGUGGCCGAGCGGUCCAAGGCGCUGCGUUUAGGCCGCAGUCUCCUCCGGAGGCGUGGGUUCGAAUCCCACUCCUGACAGCCG
Molecule: non-coding RNA, 87 nt
Organism: Mauremys reevesii (Reeves's turtle)
Lineage: Eukaryota; Metazoa; Chordata; Testudines; Geoemydidae
Source: the annotation of a RefSeq genome assembly